AUUGAACGCUGGCGGCAGGCCUAACACAUGCAAGUCGAGCGGUAGAGAGGUGCUUGCAUCUCUUGAGAGCGGCGGACGGGUGAGUAAUGCCUAGGAAUCUGCCUAGUGGUGGGGGAUAACGUUCGGAAACGGACGCUAAUACCGCAUACGUCCUACGGGAGAAAGCGGGGGAUCUUCGGACCUCGCGCCAUUAGAUGAGCCUAGGUCGGAUUAGCUAGUUGGUGAGGUAAUGGCUCACCAAGGCGACGAUCCGUAACUGGUCUGAGAGGAUGAUCAGUCACACUGGAACUGAGACACGGUCCAGACUCCUACGGGAGGCAGCAGUGGGGAAUAUUGGACAAUGGGCGAAAGCCUGAUCCAGCCAUGCCGCGUGUGUGAAGAAGGUCUUCGGAUUGUAAAGCACUUUAAGUUGGGAGGAAGGGUAGUAACCUAAUACGUUGCUACUUUUGACGUUUACCGACAGAAUAAGCACCGGCUAACUCGUGCCAGCAG
Molecule: ribosomal RNA, 492 nt
Filed under: uncultured bacterium
Lineage: Bacteria
Description: bacterial SSU rRNA
Rfam family: Bacterial small subunit ribosomal RNA
Source: RNAcentral